Long non-coding RNA from Manis pentadactyla (Chinese pangolin), 2843 nucleotides. RefSeq lists it as uncharacterized. The transcript is spliced from 2 exons. Lineage: Eukaryota; Metazoa; Chordata; Mammalia; Pholidota; Manidae. The record is from RefSeq and is a predicted model, not a curated record.
CACGCUUGGUGAAACUAUGGGUGUGACAAACGGAGAAUGGCACGCAUCCACCACUGUAGCAUCAGACAGAAUAGUUUUACUGCUCUGAAAAUCCUCUGUGCUCUGCCUACUCAUCUCUCCUCUGUAAAUUCCAACCCCUAACCCCAGGCAACCAUUGAUCUUUUACGGUCAUAGUUUUGCCUCUUCCAGAAGGUUAUAUAUUUGGAAUCAGACAGUAUGUGGCCUCUUCAGAUUGGCUUCUUUUGCUUAGUAAUAUGCAUUUCAGUUUCCUGCAUGUCUUUUCAUGGCUUGACAGCUCAUUUCUUUUUAAUGCUGGACAAUAUUCCACUGUCUGGAUGGACCCCAGUUUAUGUGUCCAUCCCCCUACUAAAGGGCAACCUUGGUUGCUUCCAAAUUUUGUCAGUUAUGAAUAAAGCUCUGAUAGACAUUGGUAUGCAGGUUUUUCAGUAGACAUACAUGUUUGAAUCAGUUGGGUACUUUGGUUUGUUUUCUAGCCAAUCUGCCAUUUUUGAGCAAUGCUUCCUUAGAGUAGCUGAUGUGUGGCCAUGUGGGCUCCGUUGACUCCAAGAGAAUCAUGUGAUGUCAGAUCUGGAAGGAAAUUUGGUCAGCUAAUCCAACCGCUCCUUCAUACUUCAGGAAACUGAGGCACACACAUGGGAACUAGUUGUAUUCUAUUCCUUUUAAAAGUCCAAUCUUCCUGAGUUGCAUUUUUUGUUUGUUUUGCUUUGAGAUGUUUUUCAAACGCAGCCACACUAGUUUUUGAAGGACUAGAACAAUUUAAGAUCCCUUGACCAUAGUGACUAGAAGCUAAAAUCUUCAAUAUUACUAUUAGCUUUUUUUAGGGGGAAAAAAAACCAUAUAAACAUGAAAAAAUACAGCAAAUAAUUUUUUUAAAAGGCCAAGCUUGGAGUGGGAAUGCGCAUGGAGAAUAAACACUGUCGGGACAGUGAGAGUUUGGGUUACAACGUCCCAAGUUGGUGGUUUUACUUCCAGGCCACCGCAGGCAAUGCUCGUCUUGCUGACUGCCCCAGUGACCACCACCUACCGCCUCCCAACAGCCCCCCAGCAGGGCACUGGCCUGCAGGCUGGAGGAAAGAGCCACAGCUGUGUGACCACAUGCUAACUGAGACCCCUCCUGUUAUUUCCUUUCAGCUGAGGUCCCAAAACUGAGAGUCACAGGUGACAACUCUUGCUCCUUCUAAAGAGAGGGGUUGAACCAUCUCUGCAGAGCUGGCCAAGGAAAUGGACCUGACCUCAGUCUGAUCAGAAGAGGAUGAGAGUCCAGCUUCCUUUGAAAGGCACUGUCGGAGGAAAGGGUGGUGUUUCCCUCAGUUCAGAACAAGUGACGAGGUCUUUUACAAGAACCGUCUGCGAGCAGUGUGGGUUUUGCCUGAGGGGACAUUGACAUCUUAUGCUGCUCAUGCACCUCCCAUCCCUUCCCCAUAUCCUCUCUCAGCAGAGAUCCGGGUCAGAGCCUGCUUGCUUGCAGAGUUCUUGGGGAAACUUGGCCUACAUUUCCUGGAAUGUGGAGACUGGUGUCUGAUUCUUCCCCGGAAGAAUCUAAAGAGUAUGAAAGGUCUGUGUGGGUGUCCUGGCAGCUGUGGAAGCUGGGCCGGCGUGGUAAGCAGUCCGCCAGAGGAGCAGCCCCUGCUCUAAGGACGGUCAGGUCAGAGGUCCUCUGGGGAGGAGGGGAGAAGUCUCGUCUAGAACCUGCAAGAGCACCUGCAUCAGUCCACACAGGAGCUCACGCAAUCUCAGGAGGAGCCGAAGGAGCAAGCGCCCUGGAGUGAUUCACGGAAUGCUCCAGAACUGACCCUCAAGGGGGGCUGCACCUCUGAGGCCACCCCUCGAGCUAGACGUGAAAGCCACAUCCGCCACCACUCCUCCGUAUACAGGGAAGUGGAGGCGGACACAGGAACACAGCUGCAGAAAGGCCGCAUGUCCACUCUCUCGUUUGUCAGAAACCAUAGCCCAAAGCCUCAGGAAGAGGCCCCCACGUCAUUCCCGACUUCCACAUCUCCUGGUGAGCAGACCCAAUGCACAGAAACAAGGUCGCAUCUGGUAACCUACCUGCAAGGGGAUCUGGCGAGUAGCUUUCAUCCUCCCAUCCUCUCCUCCUGGAAAUAACGUAGGAGGAGGCUGAGAACCAACAGGGGUAGCCAGGCCAGCACCCCCUGAGAGAGAGGAUCCGUAACCGGGCUCCUGUUACACAGAGAACCUCGUUGCCAGAUCACAACAGCACGGCUAAAAAACCUGGCUUUGAAUUGGAUUUUCCAUCGUGAGAAUUACACAACUGCACCCAGGAACGACAACUCAUGGCUUCUCUGAUCCUACAGACAGACAGGUGGACUGGAGAUAAGAAGUGAGAAGUCUAAAGAGGCGAGGGUAGCAAAAUGGCUGGAAUCCAACAGGGAUGUGGCUUCAAGAGGUCAAGGCCACGGCAUCACAACCCUUAGAUGCAAGGCCCAUGACGCCACCAUGGGAAGUGAGUGGUGCGCGGGGGCCCAGACCCUCGCUGUCUCCCAGAGACAUGCCCAGAACCCGGGUCUUUAUUCCGUCAUGCGUGCGAGGUCAUUUGUGAGAGCUGUGCCCACACAGCCAUCAGAUGGUAACAAUUUUCAGUCACUUCCAACAUGAGAUGGUUUUGAGCUUUAAUAUGCAACCAACCUAAUUAUGACUGCAAACACUUUGUUAAGCAAACAAACUUCAAACUCUUUUUAAAAAACCGCUCUUCUCUGGUCAUUUUGUCUUCUACAAAGGCUUUAAAAAUAAAACUGUGUGGGGAACUAGGGAAUCCAGGGAUGAAAAAAAAAACUGCACAAAAUUAAAUGGUUUUAAUGUAA